This 669-nucleotide ribosomal RNA is filed under the name Triticum aestivum (bread wheat). Its description in RNAcentral is "partial small subunit ribosomal RNA". Lineage: Eukaryota; Viridiplantae; Streptophyta; Magnoliopsida; Poales; Poaceae. The record is from RNAcentral.
AUGGUGACGCCCCCUACGGGUCCUCCAUUACGGAUAACCCACCCCUCCCACCCAGGGCACGUGCUCACGCUGUACGCCACCGGCGGCGUGCUGUUCCAGUGCGACGGCUGCCGGCACUACGGCGAGGACGACCGCAGGUACCGGUGCGACCCGUGCGACUUCGAUCUUCACGUCUGCUGCGUCCCCUUCAAGGUGGAGGACCUGACGCUCACGCAUGCUUUCUUCAAGGGCUGCACGUUCGACUUUCGCUACAGCCCUCCCGGCGGCGCCCUGGCCGGCCUCGGCAGCUUCUGCGGCGCCUGCGGAGACCAGGUGCUCGGCUUCUUGUUCCACGACGGCCACCGCCAGAUCGGCCUCCACCCGCAGUGCGCCAACCUGGCCGAGCGCGUGGUCCAGCACGACGGCGUGUUCGACCUCCUCAAGGAGUCGCCUGCCCAUGGUCGCUCAAGUGAGCGCGCAGGCGACAUGGGCGGUGGGAACGCCGACGACAUGGGAGGUGGGCAUGCCGCAGAGCGCGCCGACGACAUGGGAGGUGGGCACGCCGCAGAGCGUGCCAACGACGUGGGACAGCGGGUUGUCAUCCAGCAUCAGCAAGGUCUCGCUUUUCUGCAAGGUUGCGGUGGCCGUCGCCAGGGUCGCCUCCGCGGUCUCCACUGGCACGGGGGGUGA